Small nuclear RNA from Pecten maximus, 167 nucleotides. RefSeq annotates it as U1 spliceosomal RNA. The record is from RefSeq and is a predicted model, not a curated record. Lineage: Eukaryota; Metazoa; Mollusca; Bivalvia; Pectinida; Pectinidae. The transcript has a single exon.
AUACUUACCUGGACAGGGGGCUACCGUGAUCAGGAACGGGGGUCCCCCCCGGCGGGGGCCAAACCUUUGCCCCUCCGGUGGGGCUAAACCCCUGCGAAAAUCCCAAAUGGGUUUCCCGGGGGUCCCGUUAUUUUUUUUGGGGGGGUUUUGGUUCGCGCAAACCCCCG